RNAcentral lists this unclassified non-coding RNA (390 nucleotides) under soil metagenome. Its description in RNAcentral is "partial contains 5.8S ribosomal RNA, internal transcribed spacer 2, and large subunit ribosomal RNA". The stretch from base 1 to 120 matches the Rfam family "5.8S ribosomal RNA", at positions 35 to 154 of the family's 154-position model. The record is from RNAcentral.
GAUGAAGAACGUAGUGAAAUGCGAUAAGUAAUGUGAAUUGCAGAAUUCAGUGAAUCAUCGAAUCUUUGAACGCACCUUGCGCUCCUUGGUAUUCCGAGGAGCAUGCCUGUUUGAGUGUCAUUAAAUUCUCAACCUUUCCAGCUUUUGCGAGUUUGGAUUGGCUUGGAUGUGGAGGUUUGCAGGCUUCUCAGAAGUCAGCUCCUCUUAAAUGCAUUAGCGGAACCUUUGUGGACCAGCUUUGGUGUGAUAAUUAUCUAUGCCAUGGUUGUGAAGCAGUUUUUAUAUGGGGUUCAGCUUCUAACAGUCCAUUGACUUGGACAAUUUCUGACAUUUUGACCUCAAAUCAGGUAGGACUACCCGCUGAACUUAAGCAUAUCAAUAAGCGGAGGA